UUUCCGUAGGUGAACCUGCGGAAGGAUCAUUACCACACCCUUCAAAUAAAACGUUCGAGGUUUUCACGAACCUCGUUUGUUUUACGACCCGCGUACCGCUUUUCGGGGUUUUAUUUUUCACUAAGUAAACCCCAUUUUUUACACGCUGCUUCUUUUCUCUUUACGAGGAAAAAAGCAGGUCAGUGUUCUAUUCAGACCAUUUUACCUAUUCCUCAUGGAAUAAAAAAACCAAUUUGAUAUAGAACUUAUGAUAAUCUUUAUUCGAAAGAAUAACGAAAACCAACACUUUCAGCAACGGAUGUCUUGGCUCCC
RNAcentral lists this unclassified non-coding RNA (312 nucleotides) under plant metagenome. RNAcentral describes it as "partial contains small subunit ribosomal RNA, internal transcribed spacer 1, and 5.8S ribosomal RNA". The record is from RNAcentral.